GUAGAUGCUCAUUCCAUCUCUUAUGUUCGCCUUAGUGCCUCAUAAACUCAGGAAUGAUGCAGAGCCGUUUUACGGUGCUUAUCGUCCACUGACAGAUGUCGCAUUUUAUAUGCUAAAUCAUUCAUGAUGUGUCGAGACGGCCAGCACGGGAAUCCCCAGGAGCUUACAA
Molecule: small RNA, 169 nt
Filed under: Klebsiella oxytoca OK-1
Lineage: Bacteria; Pseudomonadati; Pseudomonadota; Gammaproteobacteria; Enterobacterales; Enterobacteriaceae
Also listed under: 1 other name
Description: GlmZ RNA
Rfam family: GlmZ RNA activator of glmS mRNA
About the family: This RNA was discovered in E. coli during a large scale screen. The sraJ gene was expressed in early logarithmic phase, but its level decreased with cell growth. Specific cleavage products of this RNA were found.
Source: RNAcentral